GUUUCAGGGCGGGGUGUAACUCCCCACUGGCGGUAUAGCCCGCGACCACGCUGCACCGCAGCGUGCUGACCCGGUGAGACUCCGGGGCCAACGGUAUAGUCCGGAUGUAAGAAA
RNAcentral lists this non-coding RNA (114 nucleotides) under uncultured Faecalibacterium sp. RNAcentral describes it as "FMN riboswitch (RFN element)". It matches the Rfam family "FMN riboswitch aptamer (RFN element)". Rfam says of the family: The RFN element is a highly conserved domain that is found frequently in the 5'-untranslated regions of prokaryotic mRNAs that encode for flavin mononucleotide (FMN) biosynthesis and transport proteins. This element is a metabolite-dependent riboswitch that directly binds FMN in the absence of proteins. Lineage: Bacteria; Bacillati; Bacillota; Clostridia; Eubacteriales; Oscillospiraceae. The record is from RNAcentral.